CUUACUUAUGAGGACAUAAACUAACUUGGAAAGUCCUGAAGAUGCAGUGCUGUCUAAUGCCGCUAUUUCUGUAUUACCCUUUCAACAAUAGGGGUGUUGCACAGAGUAUUGUGGUGAACAUCCAGCAAACAGAAGAAUUAAGAACUAUGUGGAAGCUGACAUUGUCUUGUUGUCAGCCAUAUUGCUACCCUUAGCUAUGUUAUGGUGUUUAAGAUUAUGGAACAAAGUUUAUGGUGUCUAAGAUUAUGGAACAAAGUUUAUGGUGUCUUAAGAUUCUUUAUACUCCUUGAAAGACUUAUAAUAUUUUUCUGGACUAUUGAACUAUUUUGUUAUUUUUAUUUUUGUAGAGUUAGCCGGAGAGAGAGGAAGUGUUAGCUUACUCAGGCAUGGAUGUACUAU
Non-coding RNA from Pelobates cultripes (western spadefoot toad), 399 nucleotides. NCBI's taxonomy places the organism in Eukaryota, Metazoa, Chordata, Amphibia, Anura, Pelobatidae. The record is from the annotation of a GenBank genome assembly.